RNAcentral lists this ribosomal RNA (253 nucleotides) under uncultured bacterium. RNAcentral describes it as "partial 16S ribosomal RNA". It matches the Rfam family "Bacterial small subunit ribosomal RNA", at positions 524 to 776 of the family's 1533-position model. The record is from RNAcentral.
UACGAAGGGGGCUAGCGUUGUUCGGAAUUACUGGGCGUAAAGCGCGCGCAGGCGGUUCUUCAAGUCAGAGGUGAAAGCCCAGAGCUCAACUCUGGAAUGGCCUUUGAGACUAGAGAACUAGGGUACGGGAGAGGUGAGUGGAAUUCCGAGUGUAGAGGUGAAAUUCGUAGAUAUUCGGAAGAACACCAGUGGCGAAGGCGGGUCUCUGGGCCGAUACUGACGCUGAGGAGCGAAAGCGUGGGGAGCGAACAGG